RNAcentral lists this ribosomal RNA (2801 nucleotides) under Drosophila melanogaster (fruit fly). Its description in RNAcentral is "eukaryotic LSU rRNA". The stretch from base 573 to 2801 matches the Rfam family "Eukaryotic large subunit ribosomal RNA", at positions 1 to 1931 of the family's 3401-position model. Lineage: Eukaryota; Metazoa; Arthropoda; Insecta; Diptera; Drosophilidae. The record is from RNAcentral.
ACUCUAAGCGGUGGAUCACUCGGCUCAUGGGUCGAUGAAGAACGCAGCAAACUGUGCGUCAUCGUGUGAACUGCAGGACACAUGAACAUCGACAUUUUGAACGCAUAUCGCAGUCCAUGCUGUUAUGUACUUUAAUUAAUUUUAUAGUGCUGCUUGGACUACAUAUGGUUGAGGGUUGUAAGACUAUGCUAAUUAAGUUGCUUAUAAAUUUUUAUAAGCAUAUGGUAUAUUAUUGGAUAAAUAUAAUAAUUUUUAUUCAUAAUAUUAAAAAAUAAAUGAAAAACAUUAUCUCACAUUUGAAUGUGAAAAACGAAGAGAAAUAUUUUCUUUUUCAAUCAAAUAAUACUGAGAAAUGUCUAGCAUAAAAAAUUGAAAUAUUUUUCAUCUAGAAUUGUCUCUUAUUAAUGAUUCGGAAAUAGAAAAAUCUUGGUUAUGUUAUUAUUCUUCGUUGGUUCGUUAAAAAUGGAUAAAUAAAAACUUUGCAUACAAGAAUUAAUAAAAAUGUUAUAACGAAUUUAAUUAAAUGUUUUAUCAUUAUAUAUAAAGAAUUUAUGGCAAGAUAAAGUUAUAUACAACCUCAACUCAUAUGGGACUACCCCCUGAAUUUAAGCAUAUUAAUUAGGGGAGGAAAAGAAACUAACAAGGAUUUUCUUAGUAGCGGCGAGCGAAAAGAAAACAGUUCAGCACUAAGUCACUUUGUCUAUAUGGCAAAUGUGAGAUGCAGUGUAUGGAGCGUCAAUAUUCUAGUAUGAGAAAUUAACGAUUUAAGUCCUUCUUAAAUGAGGCCAUUUACCCAUAGAGGGUGCCAGGCCCGUAUAACGUUAAUGAUUACUAGAUGAUGUUUCCAAAGAGUCGUGUUGCUUGAUAGUGCAGCACUAAGUGGGUGGUAAACUCCAUCUAAAACUAAAUAUAACCAUGAGACCGAUAGUAAACAAGUACCGUGAGGGAAAGUUGAAAAGAACUCUGAAUAGAGAGUUAAACAGUACGUGAAACUGCUUAGAGGUUAAGCCCGAUGAACCUGAAUAUCCGUUAUGGAAAAUUCAUCAUUAAAAUUGUAAUAUUUAAAUAAUAUUAUGAGAAUAGUGUGCAUUUUUUCCAUAUAAGGACAUUGUAAUCUAUUAGCAUAUACCAAAUUUAUCAUAAAAUAUAACUUAUAGUUUAUUCCAAUUAAAUUGCUUGCAUUUUAACACAGAAUAAAUGUUAUUAAUUUGAUAAAGUGCUGAUAGAUUUAUAUGAUUACAGUGCGUUAAUUUUUCGGAAUUAUAUAAUGGCAUAAUUAUCAUUGAUUUUUGUGUUUAUUAUAUGCACUUGUAUGAUUAACAAUGCGAAAGAUUCAGGAUACCUUCGGGACCCGUCUUGAAACACGGACCAAGGAGUCUAACAUAUGUGCAAGUUAUUGGGAUAUAAACCUAAUAGCGUAAUUAACUUGACUAAUAAUGGGAUUAGUUUUUUAGCUAUUUAUAGCUAAUUAACACAAUCCCGGGGCGUUCUAUAUAGUUAUGUAUAAUGUAUAUUUAUAUUAUUUAUGCCUCUAACUGGAACGUACCUUGAGCAUAUAUGCUGUGACCCGAAAGAUGGUGAACUAUACUUGAUCAGGUUGAAGUCAGGGGAAACCCUGAUGGAAGACCGAAACAGUUCUGACGUGCAAAUCGAUUGUCAGAAUUGAGUAUAGGGGCGAAAGACCAAUCGAACCAUCUAGUAGCUGGUUCCUUCCGAAGUUUCCCUCAGGAUAGCUGGUGCAUUUUAAUAUUAUAUAAAAUAAUCUUAUCUGGUAAAGCGAAUGAUUAGAGGCCUUAGGGUCGAAACGAUCUUAACCUAUUCUCAAACUUUAAAUGGGUAAGAACCUUAACUUUCUUGAUAUGAAGUUCAAGGUUAUGAUAUAAUGUGCCCAGUGGGCCACUUUUGGUAAGCAGAACUGGCGCUGUGGGAUGAACCAAACGUAAUGUUACGGUGCCCAAAUUAACAACUCAUGCAGAUACCAUGAAAGGCGUUGGUUGCUUAAAACAGCAGGACGGUGAUCAUGGAAGUCGAAAUCCGCUAAGGAGUGUGUAACAACUCACCUGCCGAAGCAACUAGCCCUUAAAAUGGAUGGCGCUUAAGUUGUAUACCUAUACAUUACCGCUAAAGUAGAUGAUUUAUAUUACUUGUGAUAUAAAUUUUGAAACUUUAGUGAGUAGGAAGGUACAAUGGUAUGCGUAGAAGUGUUUGGCGUAAGCCUGCAUGGAGCUGCCAUUGGUACAGAUCUUGGUGGUAGUAGCAAAUAAUCGAAUGAGACCUUGGAGGACUGAAGUGGAGAAGGGUUUCGUGUGAACAGUGGUUGAUCACGAGUUAGUCGGUCCUAAGUUCAAGGCGAAAGCCGAAAAUUUUCAAGUAAAACAAAAAUGCCUAACUAUAUAAACAAAGCGAAUUAUAAUACACUUGAAUAAUUUUGAACGAAAGGGAAUACGGUUCCAAUUCCGUAACCUGUUGAGUAUCCGUUUGUUAUUAAAUAUGGGCCUCGUGCUCAUCCUGGCAACAGGAACGACCAUAAAGAAGCCGUCGAGAGAUAUCGGAAGAGUUUUCUUUUCUGUUUUAUAGCCGUACUACCAUGGAAGUCUUUCGCAGAGAGAUAUGGUAGAUGGGCUAGAAGAGCAUGACAUAUACUGUUGUGUCGAUAUUUUCUCCUCGGACCUUGAAAAUUUAUGGUGGGGACACGCAAACUUCUCAACAGGCCGUACCAAUAUCCGCAGCUGGUCUCCAAGGUGAAGAGUCUCUAGUCGAUAGAAUAAUGUAGGUAAGGGAAGUCGGCAAAUUAGAUCCGU